AAUAUAAUUCUUUUGUCAAUUCAAUUCACCACCUGGAUUUGUAAAUAGUGAAAGUGUUAUGGAUUCAAGUUAAGUUUUACUGGCCCCAGAAAAUGGGAACGUUUCUUAUAUUGGUGACCACAAAUAAACAUGAUUACACUCUAUUCAGCAUUUUUUACUGCAUCGUAGACCAAAAUUGUUCCUGAAGCCUUGCAUGGUUGACCGAACUCAUUUCAUUUGGUAUUGAAGUCACCUAUGAGGUGCUAUCCCUCAUCUGAACUCUGGAUGUGGAUUGUCAAUAGACUGGAUGCUACAAGAAUAG
This 301-nucleotide long non-coding RNA is filed under the name Olea europaea subsp. europaea. Lineage: Eukaryota; Viridiplantae; Streptophyta; Magnoliopsida; Lamiales; Oleaceae. The record is from RNAcentral.